Molecule: ribosomal RNA, 524 nt
Filed under: uncultured bacterium
Lineage: Bacteria
Description: partial 16S ribosomal RNA
Rfam family: Bacterial small subunit ribosomal RNA
Source: RNAcentral
GACGAACGCUGGCGGCGUGCCUAAUACAUGCAAGUCGAGCGCAGGAAAUCGACGGAACCCUUCGGGGGGAAGUCGACGGAAUGAGCGGCGGACGGGUGAGUAACACGUAAAGAACCUGCCCUCAGGUCUGGGAUAACCACGAGAAAUCGGGGCUAAUACCGGAUGGGUCAUCGGACCGCAUGGUCCGAGGAUGAAAGGCGCUUCGGCGUCGCCUGGGGAUGGCUUUGCGGUGCAUUAGCUAGUUGGUGGGGUAAUGGCCCACCAAGGCGACGAUGCAUAGCCGACCUGAGAGGGUGAUCGGCCACACUGGGACUGAGACACGGCCCAGACUCCUACGGGAGGCAGCAGUAGGGAAUCUUCCACAAUGGACGAAAGUCUGAUGGAGUAACGCCGCGUGAACGAUGAAGGCCUUCGGGUCGUAAAGUUCUGUUGUAAGGGAAGAACAGGUGCCGCAGGCAAUGGCGGCACCUUGACGGUACCUUGCGAGAAAGCCACGGCUAACUACGUGCCAGCCGCCGCGGUAA